AGGAGAACAACUCUUUUUCGCAGGAUGUGACGUCACAUUGUUGCUUGUUUUUACUUUUUUUGAAAGAGCUACUCUCGAACGUAGAUUAGCCAUUGCCGUCGUGUCGGCUGCAAGACGUUCUGCGCGCGCUUGGCGCGCUUUUGUGCGUGUCGAAAGCGUAUAACGUGCGCGAUAUUCGUGCGAGCGCAGUUUGACUUGAGCAAUCGUGGGUUUGGACUCCGUGACAUUAGCUUUCGUCAUAUGCGAGUUAGGGGCUUGCCGACAGGUAAACCGCCGCUGUACUUAGAUGCAAAAGCUGCCUCCCUUAUCUGGAACAGAAUAAAUUCCUUUCGAAGGCAAAAUAAAAAACAGAAAGAGAAGUCA
This 363-nucleotide long non-coding RNA is filed under the name Dermacentor andersoni. RNAcentral's name for it is "uncharacterized LOC126518480". Lineage: Eukaryota; Metazoa; Arthropoda; Arachnida; Ixodida; Ixodidae. The record is from RNAcentral.